This 490-nucleotide ribosomal RNA is filed under the name uncultured bacterium. RNAcentral describes it as "partial 16S ribosomal RNA". It matches the Rfam family "Bacterial small subunit ribosomal RNA", at positions 30 to 507 of the family's 1533-position model. The record is from RNAcentral.
AUUGAACGCUGGCGGCAGGCCUAACACAUGCAAGUCGAACGGUAACAGGAAGAAGCUUGCUUCUUUGCUGACGAGUGGCGGACGGGUGAGUAAUGUCUGGGAAACUGCCUGAUGGAGGGGGAUAACUACUGGAAACGGUAGCUAAUACCGCAUAACGUCGCAAGACCAAAGAGGGGGACCUUCGGGCCUCUUGCCAUCGGAUGUGCCCAGAUGGGAUUAGCUAGUAGGUGGGGUAACGGCUCACCUAGGCGACGAUCCCUAGCUGGUCUGAGAGGAUGACCAGCCACACUGGAACUGAGACACGGUCCAGACUCCUACGGGAGGCAGCAGUGGGGAAUAUUGCACAAAGGGCGCAAGCCUGAUGCAGCCAUGCCGCGUGGAUGAAGAAGGCCUUCGGGUUGUAAAGUACUUUCAGCGGGGAGGAAGGGAGGAAAGUUAAUACCUUUGCGCAUUGACGUUACCCGCAGAAGAAGCACCGGCUAACUCCGUG